UUACGGCCAUAUCACGAUGAAACAUUGGUUCUCGUCCGAUCACUGAAGUUAAGCAACAUCAAGCCUAAUUAAUACAUAGAUGGGAGAGCGCUUGAGAAUACCAGGUGUUAU
This is a non-coding RNA of Acanthosepion pharaonis, 111 nucleotides long. Lineage: Eukaryota; Metazoa; Mollusca; Cephalopoda; Sepiida; Sepiidae. The record is from the annotation of a GenBank genome assembly.